RNAcentral lists this ribosomal RNA (775 nucleotides) under uncultured Neocallimastigales. RNAcentral describes it as "partial large subunit ribosomal RNA". It matches the Rfam family "Eukaryotic large subunit ribosomal RNA", at positions 26 to 616 of the family's 3401-position model. Lineage: Eukaryota; Fungi; Neocallimastigomycota; Neocallimastigomycetes; Neocallimastigales. The record is from RNAcentral.
CGCAUCUGUGCAUGCAGCAUAUCAAUAAGCGGAGGAAAAGAAACUAACAAGGAUUCCCCUAGUAACGGCGAGUGAAGCGGGAAGAGCUCAAAUUUGAAAUCUUAAAGGGUUUCCCUUUACGAAUUGUAGUUUAAAGAAGUGUUUUCUGUUGAGGUUUUGGUAAAAGUUCUUUGGAAUAGGACAUCAUAGAGGGUGAGAAUCCCGUAUUUGACCUUUACUUUCACCUUUGUGAUACACUUUCAAAGAGUCGGAUUGUUUGGGAAUGCAGUCCAAAAUGGGUGGUAAAUUUCAUCUAAAGCUAAAUAUUGGCGAGAGACCGAUAGCGAACAAGUACCGUGAGGGAAAGAUGAAAAGAACUUUGAAAAGAGAGUUAAACAGUACGUGAAAUUGUCAAAAGGGAAGCGUUUGACACCAGUGUUGUUUUUCUGAAAAUCAAUUAAAGAACUGUUUAUGCUAAGCUGUUUAGACUUUAUCAGCUAACUGUUUAGUUUUGAGCUUUUCUUUAAUGCACUUUUCAGUUAACAAGUCAACAUCAAUUUCUUUUGCUGUAAAAAAGCUUGAGGAAGGUGGCUUGAGAUUCGUCUUAAGUGUUUAUAGCCUCUUGCCUAUGCAGUCGGAGGAGAUUGAGGUCUGCAGCGUAGAUCCUUCGGGGCUAAAUGCAUUUGUGCUAAGUUAUAGCAUUUUAUAGACAACUUGUUGACUAUGAUUUGUCUUGUAGCUUACUCGCUUAUGUUAUUUUACCUACGCUUAGGAUGUUGAGCGCAUGUCUCUCUCU